UUGUAUUUGUGAGGUAGAGCGAGCUUUGACAUCGCGUCGGCAGAGCGAAGCUGGCAUCAGUUGGUGAUGCACGCGUAUUAUAUUGAUGGUUAGAAUACCAAAUUUGUGAGUGUAAAUGCUUCAUUUUAUACCUGGUUUUCAGUAGCAGAUGUUUACUGAAUUGAGAUAAUGUUUGAAAGGGAGAACAUUGACAUGAAUUUUGAGGCUUAGAGCGGUCAUAUUCACUCACCGAACGAACGAUCGAAUGAACGAAAGGUAGUCAGACAGACACGGUUGGAACAAAGUAAAUUUGAGAUUGUUUAACUGAUGGUCGUAUUGUUGCCUUGUUGUUCGCGUUUGUGUGAUUUGACCAAAGACGCCC
Molecule: long non-coding RNA, 361 nt
Organism: Anneissia japonica
Lineage: Eukaryota; Metazoa; Echinodermata; Crinoidea; Comatulida; Comatulidae
Exons: 3
Source: RefSeq, a predicted model, not a curated record